RNAcentral lists this ribosomal RNA (249 nucleotides) under uncultured prokaryote. Its description in RNAcentral is "partial 16S ribosomal RNA". It matches the Rfam family "Bacterial small subunit ribosomal RNA", at positions 524 to 772 of the family's 1533-position model. The record is from RNAcentral.
UACGGAGGAUGCAAGCGUUAUCCGGAUUUAUUGGGUUUAAAGGGUGCGCAGGCUGUUUGAUAAGUCAGUGGUGAAAGUCUGUCGCUUAACGGUAGGAUUGCCAUUGAUACUGUUGGACUUGAAUAUGGAUGAGGUAGGCGGAAUGUGUAGUGUAGCGGUGAAAUGCAUAGAUAUUACACAGAACACCGAUUGCGAAGGCAGCUUACUAAUCCAUCAUUGACGCUGAGGCACGAAAGCGUGGGGAUCAAA